AACGAACGCUGGCGGCAUGCCUAACACAUGCAAGUCGAACGAGACCUUCGGGUCUAGUGGCGCACGGGUGCGUAACGCGUGGGAACCUGCCCUUAGGUUCGGAAUAACUCCCCGAAAGGGGUGCUAAUACCGGAUAAUGUCUUCGGACCAAAGAUUUAUCGCGUUUGAUUGGUCCCGCGUUGGAUUAGCUAGUUGGUAGGGUAAUAGCCUACCAAGGCGACGAUCCAUAGCUGGUCUGAGAGGAUGGUCAGCCACACUGGGACUGGGACACGGCCCAGACUCCUACGGGAGGGAGCAGUGGGGGAUAUUGGAACAUGGGCGAAAGGCUGAUCCAGCAAUGCCGCGUGAGUGAUGAAGGCCUUAGGGUUGUAAAGCUCUAUUAACCGUGAUGAUAAUGACAGUACCGGGAGAAUAAGCCCCGGCUAACUCCGUG
RNAcentral lists this ribosomal RNA (433 nucleotides) under uncultured bacterium. RNAcentral describes it as "partial 16S ribosomal RNA". It matches the Rfam family "Bacterial small subunit ribosomal RNA", at positions 29 to 507 of the family's 1533-position model. The record is from RNAcentral.